This 253-nucleotide ribosomal RNA is filed under the name uncultured bacterium. RNAcentral describes it as "partial 16S ribosomal RNA". It matches the Rfam family "Bacterial small subunit ribosomal RNA", at positions 524 to 776 of the family's 1533-position model. The record is from RNAcentral.
UACAGAGGGGGCAAGCGUUGUUCGGAAUUACUGGGCGUAAAGGGCGCGUAGGCGGCCUGUUAAGUCGAACGUGAAAUCCCCGGGCUCAACCCGGGAACUGCGUCCGAUACUGGCAGGCUUGAAUCCGGGAGAGGGAUGCGGAACUGCGAGUGUAGAGGUGAAAUUCGUAGAUAUUCGCAAGAACACCAGUGGCGAAGGCGGCUCACUGGCCCGGUACUGACGCUGAGGUGCGAAAGCGUGGGGAGCAAACAGG